RNAcentral lists this unclassified non-coding RNA (211 nucleotides) under uncultured fungus. RNAcentral describes it as "partial contains 18S rRNA, ITS1 and 5.8S rRNA". Lineage: Eukaryota; Fungi. The record is from RNAcentral.
AGGUGAACCUGCGGAGGGAUCAUUACAAGUGACCCCGGUCUAACCACCGGGAUGUUCAUAACCCUUUGUUGUCCGACUCUGUUGCCUCCGGGGCGACCCUGCCUUCGGGCGGGGGCUCCGGGUGGACACUUCAAACUCUUGCGUAACUUUGCAGUCUGAGUAAACCUAAUUAAUAAAUUAAAACUUUUAACAACGGAUCUCUUGGUUCUGG